GACGAACGCUGGCGGCGUGCCUAAUACAUGCAAGUCGAACGAGAGCGCCCGGUGCUUGCACUGGUCAAUCUAGUGGCGAACGGGUGAGUAACACGUGGGUAACCUGCCCAUCAGAGGGGGAUAACAUCCGGAAACGGAUGCUAAAACCGCAUAGGUCUUCGAACCGCAUGGUUUGAAGAGGAAAAGAGGCGCAAGCUUCUGCUGAUGGAUGGACCCGCGGUGCAUUAGCUAGUUGGUGAGGUAACGGCUCACCAAGGCCGUGAUGCAUAGCCGACCUGAGAGGGUGAUCGGCCACAUUGGGACUGAGACACGGCCCAAACUCCUACGGGAGGCAGCAGUAGGGAAUCUUCCGCAAUGGACGCAAGUCUGACGGAGCAACGCCGCGUGAGUGAAGAAGGUUUUCGGAUCGUAAAACUCUGUCGUUAGAGAAGAACAAGUGCUAGAGUAACUGUUAGCGCCUUGACGGUAUCUAACCAGAAAGCCACGGCUAACUACGUG
This 498-nucleotide ribosomal RNA is filed under the name uncultured bacterium. Its description in RNAcentral is "partial 16S ribosomal RNA". It matches the Rfam family "Bacterial small subunit ribosomal RNA", at positions 28 to 507 of the family's 1533-position model. The record is from RNAcentral.